RNAcentral lists this ribosomal RNA (512 nucleotides) under uncultured bacterium. Its description in RNAcentral is "bacterial SSU rRNA". It matches the Rfam family "Bacterial small subunit ribosomal RNA", at positions 28 to 526 of the family's 1533-position model. The record is from RNAcentral.
GAUGAACGCUGGCGGCGUGCCUAAUACAUGCAAGUCGAACGAGGUGCUUUUGUAGCAAUACGAGAGUAUCCUAGUGGCGAACGGGUGAGUAACGCGUUGGUGACCUGCCCCAAAGUGUGGAAUAACAAUCCGAAAGGAUUGCUAAUACCGCAUGUGGUCAUCGGAUUUGGAAACCGAUGAUUAAAGGAGUAAUCCGCUUUGGGAGGGGCCUGCGUCCCAUCAGCUAGUUGGUAGGGUAACGGCCUACCAAGGCGACGACGGGUAGGGGACCUGAGAGGGUGACCCCCCACAAUGGUACUGAGACACGGUCCAGACUCCUACGGGAGGCAGCAGUGGGGAAUAUUGCGCAAUGGGCGAAAGCCUGACGCAGCCAUGCCGCGUGUGUGAAGAAGGCCUUAGGGUUGUAAAGCACUUUCAAUUGGGAAGAAAAGUUUAUGGUUAAUAGCCAUAAGCCCUGACAUUACCUUUAGAAGAAGCACCGGCUAACUCCGUGCCAGCAGCCGCGGUAAUUC